ACAGGAGAGGAUGUUCUGCUAAAGCAAGCACAUGUAAGAACAUGUGAUGAAAGAUUCUUUGCUACGUGAAUGUAUUAGUCUGCCUUACAUUGCAUAGUUGAGCUGCAUUUGUCGGGACUCCAUAGAGAGAGAGAAACGCACCAACAAUUUUCUGGUGGUGUGCUGCAGUUUGUUGCCAUUUCCAAGGACUCGGGCUGACUGGAUACAGGUGCUGAGGCAAGACACAGGGAGGAUACGUGAUAUUUGGAGGCAACACAUGUGGAGGACACAUGAUAUUUGGAGGGGAUAAACAGGACUCCACAGAAUGACAAAGGCUGAGCUAGGCUUGCUUUUAGAGCUAGCUGUGCAACGCUUGUGGAUCUCUCAUCUUCGCUGAUCUUCACUUCCCUGAGAGAGGCACAGCUGAGUAUUUCUGGAGUUCCUGCCGACUUGAGCCAAGGUUGAAGCCUGGCUGUCUCUCCUAGGUUGUGCCACCGCAGUUGCUAUCCCGACUCUACCAAACUGGACUGCUGGUGUAUCCGUGAAGUGUUUGAGAGUGGAUGGAGCUGCUGCUGCUGCCUGCUAACCUGUGAACUGAACUGCUGAUUUCCAGACAACUGCUGAUUUUCCAGAUGUGAGUUGCUCCGAAGAACCUUUCUAAACAGGUCCACCUCCCCGUAUUCUUUCUUUUCCACUACCUUUAGUGGGCGGUGGGCUACAAAGGAGGUUAAAGCAUUUAAGAACCAUUAUUGAAAAUAGGAUUUGAAAAAAAUUAAAGUUAUAGCUAGGUGUGUAGGCUCAUGCCUGCAAUUCCAGUACUCAGGAGGUAGAGAGAGAGGACCCAGAGUUCAAGGCUAGUCUGGGCUAUGUAACAAGACACUCAGUGUGUGUGUGUGUGUGUGUGUGUGUGUGUGUGUGUACACUUAUAUGUGUAUACAUGCAUGAUGGAGAGCUGUGCCAUGCGCUCAUGUGAAGGUCAGAGGACAGCUUUGUGCAGUCCCUUCUUUCCUUCCACUUUUGCAUGGGUCCCAAGAAUUGAACUCAGGUCACCAGGCCUGUGUGGCAAGCUCCUUUACUGAUGACCAAUCUUGGCAGCUCAGGAAAAAUGUCCUGAAGAGACACACCUUGCGUGCCCCU
Molecule: long non-coding RNA, 1116 nt
Filed under: Mus musculus (house mouse)
Lineage: Eukaryota; Metazoa; Chordata; Mammalia; Rodentia; Muridae
Description: long non-coding RNA chr9:64771814-64772930
Source: RNAcentral